Rhinopithecus roxellana (golden snub-nosed monkey) is the source of this 217-nucleotide long non-coding RNA. RefSeq lists it as uncharacterized. Lineage: Eukaryota; Metazoa; Chordata; Mammalia; Primates; Cercopithecidae. The record is from RefSeq and is a predicted model, not a curated record. The transcript is spliced from 3 exons.
CUUGCCCCUCCCUUCACCCCCUGCCCGGAGCUGGCGGGACCUGGGCGAGGCCAGAUGUGUGCAGUUAUGUUGGGGCACAGCCCAGGGCCUGGGAGCCACAAGCUUCUGAAUUCUCCAGUCACCUUCCCCUCAGUCCGAGGACCUGAUCUCAUCUGGAGAGUCUCACCCUGUCACCCAGGCUGGAGUGCUUUGGUGCGAUCUCGGCUCACUGCAACCU